This 279-nucleotide ribosomal RNA is filed under the name uncultured bacterium. Its description in RNAcentral is "partial 16S ribosomal RNA". It matches the Rfam family "Bacterial small subunit ribosomal RNA", at positions 506 to 784 of the family's 1533-position model. The record is from RNAcentral.
UGCCAGCCGCCGCGGUAAUACGGAGGGGGUUAGCGUUGUUCGGAAUUACUGGGCGUAAAGCGCGCGUAGGCGGUCUUUUAAGUUAGGCGUGAAAGCCCCGGGCUCAACCCGGGAACUGCGCUUAAGACUGGAAGACUAGAAAACGGAAGAGGGUAGUGGAAUUCCCAGUGUAGAGGUGAAAUUCGUAGAUAUUGGGAAGAACACCAGUGGCGAAAGCGGCUACCUGGUCCGAUUUUGACGCUGAGGCGCGAAAGCAUGGGUAGCGAAAGGGAUUAGAUA